UUCCUCCAUUUUUGGAUCCAAAAUUGUCAAAUGAUGACAUAAAAACAGGUGUUAGUUUUGCAUCUGCUGGCACGGGAUUCGAUGAUCUAACUGCUGCUAUAUCCAAAGUCAUUCCUGUGAUGAAGCAAAUUGAUCAUUUCAAGAACUACAUUCAGAGGCUUCAAGGGGUUGUGGGUGUGGAUGAAAGUAAGAGGAUAAUUAACAAUGCUUUGGUUGUUAUUAGUGCAGGAACCAACGACUUGAACAUCAAUUUUUAUGACCUUCCCACUAGGCAGUUGCAGUACAAUAUUAGUGGCUAUCAAGAUUUUCUUCAGAAUAGGCUACAAAGUUUAAUCAAGGUAAAUUAUACAAUAUGCACAUCACAAGAAUCCAAAGGCUAAAUUAUAACUUUCCAUUUCAGUUUAUCCCUAUACUCUUAAGAAAGUUUAGUAAGUCUUCAAACUACAGUCCUAUUUUCAAAAGGUUACUAAUUUUGUUACUAUCAGUUUACACUCGAAUCAACUAAAAAUAAGGACUUUAACUCUGUCUAUAGGAAAUUUACCAACUUGGAUGCCGAAACAUAGUGGUUGCCGGCCUCCCACCUGUUGGUUGUCUUCCCAUUCAAGAGACCAUAGCAUUUGAGAAUCCCCUAAAGCGAAAUUGUUUAAAAGAUCAAAACUCAGAUUCCGUAGCCUACAAUCAGAAACUUUCAAAGCUGCUGACCAAUUUACAGCCACAGCUCGCAGGAAGCAAAAUUCUGUAUGCGGACAUUUACACCCCUCUCAUCGACAUGCUAAACAAUCCUCAAAAAUAUGGUAAGUCAGUGCCCUGCCACUCAAAAUUUACAGAACCCAUCCACUUAUUGACUAUAAUUCAGUAAAUAUUAGAGAGAAAUCAUGUUCUGAAAACAAUUUUCACCUCAUUAUCUUUGGGGCAUUUCAUCAAACAGGUUUUGAUCACACGAACAGAGGUUGCUGUGGAACUGGAUUGGUGGAAGCAGGGCCUUUGUGUAAUCCAAAAACCCCAACGUGUGAAAAUUCAUCAAAAUUCAUGUUUUGGGAC
Molecule: long non-coding RNA, 1041 nt
Filed under: Cucumis sativus (cucumber)
Lineage: Eukaryota; Viridiplantae; Streptophyta; Magnoliopsida; Cucurbitales; Cucurbitaceae
Description: long non-coding RNA (CSAT_LNC000793)
Source: RNAcentral